ACGUGUCCAUCUCACUCCAAACCUCACCAGGAAAACUCAGUGUGAUGAAAUGAAAAAGGUUUACCAGGAAAUCAAAGAGAAUGCAAAAGAAAAGAAAAGAAACAAACCAAAAGCAAAACAAAAAUGAAACGAAACAAAACAUCUAUAAAACAAAAUACAAAAUAAGAGCCCUAGGUCUUUACAGCCUCAUCUCUGAAGCCGUACUGCAUCUUAAAGCCUAUCUACCUCUCUGAAGGGACUUACCACAAGUGUGCAGCACAGGAACUUGUUCAUUGUGGUCGGUGGAAGAAACCUCAGCGAGCUGGGAAAUCAGGCAGAGAGUCAGCUAGUGUGCUCCAGCCUCCUAGCAGCCUGCUUACAUCCCUCAACAUUAAAGACACGAUAUAUAUAUAGUCCCGGUGUAACAGGAAGCUUUGGCUCAGCUUUGAUCACUCAUUCCCUACCAUGACCAAACUUUUCUCUCUCUCUCUCUCUCUUUUUUUUUUUUUUUUUUUUUUUAAGGAACCUGUAAAACUUGAUGACUUAAUGGAACCCUUUGAGUGCUGUUAACCACAGACUGGAAAAUGAGGAGGGAGUGUCAGGGGCUGGCCAGGGGAGGGUUUAAUUGGGCUCUUGUCUGUCUGUCUGUCUGUCUAUCCCUCCCCCCCCCCUUUUUUUUUUCUCCCCUACGCAGCUGGCUUGGCAGGGAGACACGUGCCUCCAGGACAACACGUCUCAGCAACCAGGCUUAUAGGGCACUUGUUUAAAAAAUCACUGCUGGCAGCCGAGCUGUGGGCUCUGCAGCCCCACAGCCAGCUCUCACAGGGGGCCUGGAGCUCACCCAGGGCUGCCAUUUCUUGCAGAUCCCGUGGGCCCCUUUCUGCCCAACUCCCCAGGGAUUUCCAGGAGAGAGGCUGGCUGGGAAACAAAGGCCAGACCAAAACCUCAUCUCUGGAUAUUCCAGCUCUCAAGCGUUUGAAAUCUGGGGCCCAUGUUGGCUCUGAAUUGUGCAGUUUUGCCCCUUUGAGUCAUGAGGCUAUGCGGGAUUGGCAAAAGAAUGAGGUGGAAAAAGCUUGCAUAUUAUUUCAUAAAAAUCCAGCAACACUAAAUCAGGAAGCCAUAGCGUACAAGAGGGACAGCCCAGCACAUUCCUGCUUUACACAUCUGCAACUGUUUGAACACCCAUCAAGCUUAACCAAAGACUGAAACAGAUGCUGGUUACACUCAGCAGCACAAUAAAAAUUCAAGAACUUGCA
Molecule: long non-coding RNA, 1235 nt
Filed under: Anas platyrhynchos platyrhynchos (common mallard)
Lineage: Eukaryota; Metazoa; Chordata; Aves; Anseriformes; Anatidae
Description: lncRNA (ENSAPLG00000025288.1)
Source: RNAcentral